RNAcentral lists this unclassified non-coding RNA (242 nucleotides) under Hevea brasiliensis (rubber tree). The record is from RNAcentral. Lineage: Eukaryota; Viridiplantae; Streptophyta; Magnoliopsida; Malpighiales; Euphorbiaceae.
UGAAGAAGUAUGUUCAGGACCCUCAAGAAAAGGAUACUGUCUCUCGCUUUUCUCCUGCAAAGGAAGAGUCAUCUGGAUUUCUUAGCUUAAACAGAGUUAUGAGUCUUGACAGUAUGGAAAUUGACCUAACCAAGAAGCUUAUAACCCCUUCAAAACCUACGCUAGAUGCUGAAGUCGAGGAAAAUAAAGCUAGUGUAAGUGCAUCUCAAAAAUGGAGACCAGCACCAACACGACGCGAGCAG